Lepisosteus oculatus (spotted gar) is the source of this 118-nucleotide ribosomal RNA. Lineage: Eukaryota; Metazoa; Chordata; Actinopteri; Semionotiformes; Lepisosteidae. The record is from Ensembl.
UUUAGCAGCCAUAUCACCCUGCAACUCACAACUGGCAACCCACUGAAGCUAAGCAGGUGUGAGCCUGGUCAGUACCUGGAUGGGAGACUCCUGGGAAAAACUAAGGUUGCUGCUGGAA